This 253-nucleotide ribosomal RNA is filed under the name uncultured bacterium. Its description in RNAcentral is "partial 16S ribosomal RNA". It matches the Rfam family "Bacterial small subunit ribosomal RNA", at positions 524 to 776 of the family's 1533-position model. The record is from RNAcentral.
UACAGAGGGGGCAAGCGUUGUUCGGAAUUACUGGGCGUAAAGGGCGCGUAGGCGGCCUGCUAAGUCGAACGUGAAAUCCCCGAGCUCAACUCGGGAACUGCGUCCGAUACUGGCGGGCUUGAAUCCGGGAGAGGGAUGCGGAAUUCCAGGUGUAGCGGUGAAAUGCGUAGAUAUCUGGAGGAACACCGGUGGCGAAGGCGGCAUCCUGGACCGGCAUUGACGCUGAGGCGCGAAAGCCAGGGGAGCAAACGGG